GGAGAACUGCGAGGAGCCAACCGUAGUACGAGAGGACUGGGUUGGGCUAACCUAUGGUGUACCGGUUGUUAUACCAAUAGCAGCGCCGGGCAGCUAAGUUAGUAUGGAAGAACUGCUACGCCGCGGGAAAUCCUUCUCUAUACAAGUUCUCGGACGAGGUUUUUGAACAGAACUUCGAUAGGCGAGAGGUGUAAACACCGCGAGCUGUGAAACGAUCUCGUACUAAAUG
This 229-nucleotide non-coding RNA is filed under the name Solanum tuberosum (potato). RNAcentral describes it as "Bacterial large subunit ribosomal RNA". It matches the Rfam family "Bacterial large subunit ribosomal RNA", at positions 2656 to 2911 of the family's 2925-position model. Lineage: Eukaryota; Viridiplantae; Streptophyta; Magnoliopsida; Solanales; Solanaceae. The record is from Rfam by way of RNAcentral.